This is a long non-coding RNA of Anas platyrhynchos (mallard), 2207 nucleotides long. RefSeq lists it as uncharacterized. Lineage: Eukaryota; Metazoa; Chordata; Aves; Anseriformes; Anatidae. The record is from RefSeq and is a predicted model, not a curated record.
UCCUUGCUAUAAUGCCCCUGCUUCUGCUCCCUUGCUUAGAUGAAUCUUCUCUUAGGCCAAAGGGGAAGACAUGUUUAUACAUCACAGAGACAGAUGCUAUCAUCCUUGAAGAUAAUAAUUUGUCCUGGCUAUAGAAAAUUAGCUCUCAUUGGUCACUGUGGGAGUGGACACAGAUGUUUUGUAUUAUGGUGUUCAAAGUCACACUAGUUAUUAGGGUCAUAAAGUGGCAUGGUUUUUCUCAACCCAUGAAAAAUGCUGAUAUGCUGACUGCACUGGGAAGAAUGCAAUAUUAAUCACAGUAGAGCUGCAAUUACAAAUGUAAGAUAUUUCAGCUAAGCAGAAAGGAUAGUCUCUCAUGCCUAAGGCACUGAUGGGAUGGGUGACCAGAAAAGUGGAUGACCAACUCUGUUCAGAAGACCUUGAUGAUGACAGCAAUAUUUCCACAUAUGGAUUUUCAUUAUGAAACUCUGCCUUGCUUGUGUCUGAAGCAAGGUCUCCUACCAGGCCCUAUUCUACUGCCCAAUGUCUGAACAGCAACUCACAUAUGACAAAUGUACCUUACUGAGCAAUUUUCUUAAAGAUCAUCAGCUUUGUGGUUUAACUAGGAGCAUACCCAGAUGGUGUCUGAUGCCUCUUGGAUCACCAGUAGCGUAUGUUGAUUUCCAGAACCAGUUCCUGUGAAAGGAGUUCACUGCCUGGCAGGAUGGUGAUCAAUACAGCCAACAUGAAGCUUUGGAGGUACACAGGCCAAUUGCUGGCUUUGUGUACCAGCAUUAAUGAUAUCCUUGGAGAUGGUGCAUUUGAACACGUAGUGCCAGAGGCACUGUGGAGUGGCUGGCAUUGAGUACUUGGUGCCAAACAGUGAAUUGUCCUUGAGUCCCAUUGACAUCGACGGAAAUUAAGAAUCCUCAACAUCUGGCAGGAUUUAACUCAAAAUGAAGCUCAUUCUGGUGUAUUUCUUCUGUGAAUUUAAAUUAGUUAUAUACACAUGAACAGCACAGUGCUUUCAUUUAAAACAUUGUGAGCAAUGAAAUAAGAAGCUAUGGGAUAAAGACAAUAUUUAUAUCACCAGUGUGAAAAACAAAUGAGAAGUAACUUUCAUAAGUGGAGUGUAUUUAUCUGUUGGAUGUCAGUUUACUUUUCCUUCCAAUCAAUACUAUGUCUGAUGUUACAGAUACCCAUUUUUUUGUGUACUCAAUGAGAUGGACAAAGCUUUCCAAUUCUGAAACCAGUGGCUUCUUCAUAAGACAAAAUCCCUGGAAAAUGUCAAUUUUAGGAUGUAAAAAAAAUCUUGUUGACUGAUAUUUGUCAUGUCCUUAGGCUUCAGUUCUACCAAGUUAUGUAGUGCAUACUUGUAAUGGAAAUGAGAGAUGUUUUUUGAUGGUAAAAGUCAGAAGACAGCCACAAAAAAGUAUACUAGCAGUGGAGAGGAGAGAAACCCAAUGGUAAGCAGUUUAAAAUAUUAGAGUUAAGUUUGUCCAGGACAACCCUUUUAUACACAAGAUUAUUCCUCAGUACUAACUUCAUAAAAUCAUAGGAUGGUUUGGGUUGGAAUGGACCUUAAAGAUCAUCCCUGCCAAGCCCCUGCCAAAGACAGGGACACCUCCCACUAGAUCAGGGAUCAGGUUGCCUGAAGUCCCAUCCAACCUAGUCAUGAACAAUUCUAGGGAUGGGGAAUCCACAGCUUCUCUGUAAGAGUGCCUCACUACUUCAUAGUAAAUAAUUUCCUCCUAAUAUCUAAUCUAAAUCUACCCUUUUCUUAGUUUAAGAAUAUUACCCUUUGCACUCCCUGGUAAAGAGUCCCUCUCCAGAUUUCCUGUGGGCUCCCUUUCAAUACUGAAAUGCUGCUAUAAGGUCGCCCUGGAACCUUCUUUUCUCCAGGCUGAACAAUCCCCGGCUCCUUCAGUCUGUCUUCAUAGUAAUGAUGCUCCAGAUCUUUGAUCAUUGUGGCCUUCCUCUGCACUCGCUCUAAUACGCUGACAUCCUUCUUGUGCUGGGGACCCUGGAACUGAAUGCAGGACUCAAGGUGGAAUCUCACAGGAGUGGAGGGGUGUGGGGGGGAGAGAAACACCUCCCUUGCCCUGCUGGUCAUGCUGCUUUUUAUGCAGCCAGGAUGCAGCUGUCUUUCUGGGUGUGAGCACAUGUUCAUGUUGAUCUGUUCAUCCCCAAGUCCUUCUUUGCAGGGAUGUUUUUUAUCCACUCAUUGC